Molecule: ribosomal RNA, 253 nt
Filed under: uncultured bacterium
Lineage: Bacteria
Description: partial 16S ribosomal RNA
Rfam family: Bacterial small subunit ribosomal RNA
Source: RNAcentral
UACGAAGGGGGCUAGCGUUGCUCGGAAUUACUGGGCGUAAAGGGCGCGUAGGCGGACAGUUUAGUCAGAGGUGAAAGCCCAGGGCUCAACCCUGGAAUUGCCUUUGAUACUGACUGUCUUGAGUACGGGAGAGGUGUGUGGAACUCCGAGUGUAGAGGUGAAAUUCGUAGAUAUUCGGAAGAACACCAGUGGCGAAGGCGACACACUGGCCCGUUACUGGCGCUGAGGCGCGAAAGCGUGGGGAGCAAACAGG